AAAUAAGCUAUGAAAUAGGAGUAGUAGAUAUAUAUUGAUUUAAAGAGAGCUGUUGGUUGGUGCAAAGCAGUAGUCGAUAGUAUCGAACUUACCUAGGAGCAGAUUGGAGAGUAUUAGGCUAGUAGCCACUAAAAAUCCAAUACGUAAACUCGCGUUAAGAGAAAGAGAGAGUGGCUGUCACUAGUCACUAAUGUUGGUGGUACCGCGGGUAUAUACUCGUCCAUACU
Molecule: non-coding RNA, 227 nt
Filed under: Clostridiales bacterium
Lineage: Bacteria; Bacillati; Bacillota; Clostridia; Eubacteriales
Description: T-box sequence
Rfam family: T-box leader
About the family: Uncharged tRNA acts as the effector for transcription antitermination of genes in the T-box leader family. T-boxes are found upstream of many aminoacyl-tRNA synthetase genes and some amino acid biosynthetic genes usually in Gram-positive bacteria. The anticodon of a specific tRNA base pairs to a specifier sequence within the T-box motif, and the NCCA acceptor tail of the tRNA base pairs to a conserved bulge in the T-box antiterminator hairpin.
Source: RNAcentral